UACGUAGGGGGCAAGCGUUGUCCGGAAUCAUUGGGCGUAAAGAGCGUGUAGGCGGCUUGGUAAGUCCGCUGUGAAAGUCCAGGGCUCAACCCUGGAAAGCCGGUGGAUACUGUCGAGCUCGAGUCCGGAAGAGGCGAGUGGAAUUCCUGGUGUAGCGGUGAAAUGCGCAGAUAUCAGGAAGAACACCCGUGGCUAAGGCGGCUCUCUAGUACGUGACUGACGCUGAGACGCGAAAGCGUGGGGAGCGAACAGG
This 253-nucleotide ribosomal RNA is filed under the name uncultured bacterium. Its description in RNAcentral is "partial 16S ribosomal RNA". It matches the Rfam family "Bacterial small subunit ribosomal RNA", at positions 524 to 776 of the family's 1533-position model. The record is from RNAcentral.